ACACAUGCAAGUCGGACGGAGCUUAGAGAGCUUGCUUUUUAAGCUUAGUGGCGAACGGGUGAGUAACGCGUGAGUAACCUGCCCUAGAGUGGGGGACAACAGUUGGAAACGACUGCUAAUACCGCAUAAGCCCACGGUACCGCAUGGUACUGAGGGAAAAGGAUUUAUUCGCUUUAGGAUGGACUCGCGUCCAAUUAGCUAGUUGGUGAGGUAACGGCCCACCAAGGCGACGAUUGGUAGCCGGACUGAGAGGUUGAACGGCCACAUUGGGACUGAGACACGGCCCAGACUCCUACGGGAGGCAGCAGUGGGGGAUAUUGCACAAUGGGGGAAACCCUGAUGCAGCGACGCCGCGUGGAGGAAGAAGGUUUUCGGAUUGUAAACUCCUGUCGUUAGGGACGAUAAUGACGGUACCUAACAAGAAAGCACCGGCUAACUACGUGCCAGCAGCCGCGGUAAAACGUAGGGUGCAAGCGUUGUCCGGAAUUACUGGGUGUAAAGGGAGCGCAGGCGGGAAGACAAGUUGGAAGUGAAAACCAUGGGCUCAACCCAUGAAUUGCUUUCAAAACUGUUUUUCUUGAGUAGUGCAGAGGUAGAUGGAAUUCCCGGUGUAGCGGUGGAAUGCGUAGAUAUCGGGGGGAACACCAGUGGCGAAGGCGGUCUACUGGGCACCAACUGACGCUGAGGCUCGAAAGCAUGGGUAGCAAACAGGAUUAGAUACCCUGGUAGUCCAUGCCGUAAACGAUGAUUACUAGGUGUUGGGGGAUUGACCCCCUCAGUGCCGCAGUUAACACAAUAAGUAAUCCACCUGGGGAGUACGACCGCA
RNAcentral lists this ribosomal RNA (826 nucleotides) under uncultured bacterium. RNAcentral describes it as "bacterial SSU rRNA". It matches the Rfam family "Bacterial small subunit ribosomal RNA", at positions 51 to 890 of the family's 1533-position model. The record is from RNAcentral.